Molecule: ribosomal RNA, 366 nt
Filed under: uncultured eukaryote
Lineage: Eukaryota
Description: partial 18S ribosomal RNA
Rfam family: Eukaryotic small subunit ribosomal RNA
Source: RNAcentral
CAAUAGCGUAUAUUAAAGUUGUUGCAGUUAAAAAGCUCGUAGUUGAAGAUACGAACGCUUACACUAGAACAAAGUUUCCGGUGUCUGCGUUCACUUUUCGCAAAGACAGCCUGGCCCAUUAGUUUGGGUCUUGUUUGAGUUGCGUCAUUUACUGUGAACAAAUUAGGGUGUUUAAAGCAGGCCUACGUUUGAAUACACUAGCAUGGAAUAAUAAGAUAUGAUCUUGGUCGUAUUUUGUUGGUGACUACCAAGAUAAUGAUUGAUAGAAACUGUUGUGGGUAUUCGUAUGAGCAUGUCAGAGGUGAAAUUCUUGGAUUUUGAUCAGACGAACUACUGCGAAGCAUUUACCAAGGAUGUUUUCAUUAA